AUCCAUUGCUAUAAAAUAUAUGCAUUUAAACAUAGACAUGUCAAAAAAAAUUACAAUAAAUGUAUUUUUUCCUUCUUAUUAAAAACAGCCUACGAGCCAAGCACAAGGAUUGCAUCAACACAGAAGUGCACUACAAAGCGCAGUAGCAAGAAAAAGGAGCCCAACCCCCAAACUAAAAGCAACAAAAAAUAAUGAUAAGAGACAAAAGGACAAAGGACUUACGAAAACAGCAGCAGAAUUACAAAAAUGGCAGCAGACUUAAGAAUUGGUAGCGCAAAAUCAGAAAUACUUCUUUCGUUAGUUGAAUCCAAUCACUAUCUAUGUGAGUAAACAAAGUAGAGAACCAUAUCAAUGACCAAUAUAAUGAAACUAAUAAGGAAGGCUUUGGUCUAUGACACAUGAAACUAAAUUAGGUAGUAGUAUGUUUUACAACACCUAAAUACAUGUGAUACUAACUUCAAUGAAUUGUAUUGUGAUGUGAACAUUAUUGUAGAAGUUUGAUAAGUGUUGAUUUUAUACUUUAAUUAACUCUUGUAUUUGGGCUUAAUUGUCAAACAUGAUUAAUUUAUGGAUUUGUACUCAUUUUAACCUUUAUGUCUUCGGCAGUGCAUAUCUGGAGCUACGAAUAUCGGAUUUUGAUGAUCUUUGCACCGUUGGAAAGCUAAGACAAAUUACUACAAUUUUGUAUUUCACAAGCUUCGUCAAAUUUAACUUAAAUCUAGACGAAACGAGGCUCUAAAGCUACAGGUCGUUAUUGUAAAGUGGCCAAAUAUUUUCUCUCACAAUCAAUAGGACCCGAAUUACCCUCACAGUGAGUCUUAAUCUCAGCCUCAUUCGAUUCACUGCUAACUGAAUUAUCAACAUCAGUCAUGUUAAUAAUUGAACCAAACACAGACUCAUUGGUAGCCAUAAAAUCUUCAACAGUUUUAACAACACUAUUAUCAGACUUAAAAGUAGCAUUUGAUUUAGAAGUGAGGAAUGUUGACAUCUUUGUUGAAGGAUAAAAUAAAGGAUCCUCAGGUUCAUAAGUAGCAGCCAUAAUAGUAAACACUAAAACACCAAUAACAAAAACUGAGAAACAAACAUUCCCAAUCAUGGCCAUAGUAUUCUGACCUAAAUUCUCUGGUCUGAAACCUCCUGGUCUAGAAAAUGCAGACCGACCCAACAUUUCAAAUUAAUCAAUAAUAAUAAACAAUAGCAGUGGUUAUGAGUUAAACAUAUAUAAGUACAUGUUGGAGUACUUGUAAUUAUCCUAAAGUACUUCUUGUACUUAAAUUUUAGCUAAUACUUUGGAGUUUUUUUAUGAAAAAAGGCUAAAUUUUAUUAUAAUCAAAGUAGAGUACAAGGGUACCAAUAUAAUGGAAGCUUAAAAAUCAAAAGAACAACAAAAUCAAAAGCACCAAGAAGAGGUUGGGGUUCCAAAAUCAACAAGCAACAAACAAACAAUAAAGCAAACUAAAAAAUCCAGAACUCAAGCACAACAAACACAUAGCAAAAACAGUAAAUUAGAUGAAAAGUAACGAACCUGAGAUGGAGCAACGAACAAACUCUUCUUAACGGAGAGAUGAGAGCAAUGAAACUGAACCUUAGAUGAAAAACAAACUCUUCUGAACACUUGUGAUUUAGGGGGAUUUAGCAAAUUAAGGAAUGAAGAAAUUGAUUUAGGGGUUAGGGUUGAUGAAGAAAAGGAGUUAGGGAUUAGGAUUGUGAUAGGAAUCUGCGAUGAAAAGAUG
Molecule: long non-coding RNA, 1733 nt
Filed under: Trifolium pratense (red clover)
Lineage: Eukaryota; Viridiplantae; Streptophyta; Magnoliopsida; Fabales; Fabaceae
Description: long non-coding RNA (TPRA_LNC013807)
Source: RNAcentral